GAUGAACGCUGGCGGCGUGCCUAAUACAUGCAAGUCGAGCGAACAGACGAGGAGCUUGCUCCUCUGACGUUAGCGGCGGACGGGUGAGUAACACGUGGAUAACCUACCUAUAAGACUGGGAUAACUUCGGGAAACCGGAGCUAAUACCGGAUAAUAUAUUGAACCGCAUGGUUCAAUAGUGAAAGACGGUUUUGCUGUCACUUAUAGAUGGAUCCGCGCCGCAUUAGCUAGUUGGUAAGGUAACGGCUUACCAAGGCAACGAUGCGUAGCCGACCUGAGAGGGGGAUCGGCCACACUGGAACUGAGACACGGUCCAGACUCCUACGGGAGGCAGCAGUAGGGAAUCUUCCGCAAUGGGCGAAAGCCUGACGGAGCAACGCCGCGUGAGUGAUGAAGGUCUUCGGAUCGUAAAACUAUGUUAUUAGGGAAGAACAAAUGUGUAAGUAACUAUGCACGUCUUGACGGUACCGAAGCAGAAAGCCACGGCUAACUACGU
This 496-nucleotide ribosomal RNA is filed under the name uncultured bacterium. Its description in RNAcentral is "partial 16S ribosomal RNA". It matches the Rfam family "Bacterial small subunit ribosomal RNA", at positions 28 to 506 of the family's 1533-position model. The record is from RNAcentral.